RNAcentral lists this ribosomal RNA (468 nucleotides) under uncultured bacterium. RNAcentral describes it as "partial 16S ribosomal RNA". It matches the Rfam family "Bacterial small subunit ribosomal RNA", at positions 28 to 507 of the family's 1533-position model. The record is from RNAcentral.
GACGAACGCUGGCGGCGUGCUUAACACAUGCAAGUCGAACGGAAAGGCCCUGCUUUUGUGGUGUGCUCGAGUGGCGAACGUGUGAGUAACACGUGAGUAACCUGCCCUUGACUUUGGUAUAACUUCAGGAAACUGGGGCUAAUACCGGAUAGGAGCUCCUGCUGCAUGGUGGGGUUUGGAAAGUUUCGGCGGUUGGGGAUGGACUCGCGGCUUAUCAGCUUGUUGGUGGGGUAGUGGCUUACCAAGGCUUUGACGGGUAGCCGGGCUGAGAGGGUGACCGGCCACAAUGGGACUGAGAUAAGGCCCAGACUCCUACGGGAGGCAGCAGUGGGGAAUAUUGCGAAAUGGGCGGAAGCCUGACGCAGCAACGCCGCGGGAGGGACGAAGGCCUUCGGGUUGUAAACCGCUUUCGGCAGGGACGAAGCGAAAGGGACGGUAAUGGGUAAAGAAGCACCGGCUAACUACGUG